Non-coding RNA from Podarcis muralis (Common wall lizard), 224 nucleotides. NCBI's taxonomy places the organism in Eukaryota, Metazoa, Chordata, Lepidosauria, Squamata, Lacertidae. The record is from RefSeq and is a predicted model, not a curated record.
ACGCACGUAACCUUCCCUCGCUGUUACCUUGCCAGUCGCAGGCAUGGCGGCCAUGAGCCUCCUGCUCCGAGCGGCGGCUGCUUUCGCGGCCAGGAGGACCUUUCCCGGCCCGGGUCUCUGGGGUCGCUUCUCCCUGCCUGGGCGAGCCGCCGGCCGCUCUGUGCUCAUCGCUCCGGUACGCCAUGGCAGUGGAGGUGGGAAAAGAAUGUUCGUCAUCCAGGCGA